CAAUUCAGAAGAACUUUAAUGCCUAUACCAUCAUUGCCACUAUAAUAGAGAUAGAAGAUACAUUAAGAAAAUUCAGUUUGUAUCCACAAAACAGAUCAACACAGAACAAGGAAACACCAUAGACAUUUGUAAAUGAGAUCUUCUCUUUUGCUACUGUGUAUAUAUAUUCCUUUAUAUUUAUACAAACUCACAACACCACAUGACAUUUCAUAUUUCAUAUGCCACUGAGAACAGGUGUCAGUAUACAGAACAUAGGAAGAAGAAAAAAGCAUGAGAACAUCUGCUUAAUUCGAAUCUGAUGGGGAGAGACAUGAGAGCUAUUGUUCCUCUCUCCGCUCAGGCCUAUCGAGAGACAACUUCAGUUUUUGCUAAUUGUUCCUCCUGAGGAAUUCUGCUCAUACUGCAUCUCCUAGGUUGGCAUGAGACCAGCCUGGUCCCCGGUUGAAUAAAUUAGAAAGAGCAGUUCGGGGAAUUGAAGAUGACAUGCAAACUGCAUACGGUGACAUCUCUGUGUGGCCGCAGAGAUAGAUCAUCUGCCCCUGGCUCCUGGAUCUGAGGGAAGCCGCUGCUGCUCAACCUGCUCCAGGGUUUAAUUUUGUUGGGGUUGUGGGGCUGGCAAGGGGAAUGUGUUCCUUUCCUUCCUUCUCUCCCACAAGCAGAGGAAGUCAUAUGUAGACAAAACAGAUGUUUAGGUGUUCUCUUCAGUAGCCUUCCUCUUGCUCCCCUCUAUUACCCCCAGAAAGGUGAAGUUCAGAAUUAGGACUGCCCACUGCAGGGGCUACAGACGCUACCCUGUUCUGAGACUAACCCUGCCAUUUACUGCCUUCUCUAUGUAGUCUUGGAUAGAUUGCUUCACUGACGCAGGCCUCAAUUUUCCUCAUCUGUACUGGGAAUAAUAAAACCCACAUCACAGUGUUGUAUCAAAGAUCAUCAGGGCAUGGAUGGGAAAGUGCUUUGGGAACUGUAAAGCGCCAAACACAUGAUCGAUGAUUUUUGUUAUAAUAUUUGAAUAUUAUGUCUCCUGCCUGCUCCUCCUGGACCCCAGCCCCAUCACAGCUCACUGCUCUGUUCAUCCAGGCCCAGCUUGUAGUGGCUGAUUCUUCUUGGCUGCUUUUAGCCUCCAGAAGUUUCUCUGAAGCCAACCAAACCUCUGGGUGUAAGGCAUGUUGGCCCAGGUAUUUUUGGUGAGGUUAGGUUCCGGGGACAGGAAUGUGUAUUGAGGUUGGGGGAAGGAGCUAAAGGAAGGAGGGGAUCCUUGGAAAGGUCUCUGGGAGGGGUGUAUUCGGUUUCAUUCUGAGACAAAUACCAUCUUCUCCCCAAGACUCUCACAGUGGCUCCACCUUAAAUGUCCACAGCAUUUCACUUUCUAAAAUGUACUUUUAUUUGACUCUCAUAACUAUUUUGUGAAGUAGGGAAGAUUGUCAGCCUCAUUAGGUGAAAAUAUGUUGGUUCAAGAUCACACAGUUAGUAUGCUGCAAAGUCAGGACUCAAACCCAGAUCUCUGGAAUCCUGGUUUUCUGAGUGUUGAAGGGUACCUCUAACAAAGGCUCCAGAGCACUCUAAACUCUCAUUCUGGGCUCACUCCUCACUCCUGGAGGCUGAUCUCCGGGGGAAGGAGGAAGUGCAUGAGGUACCUUUCCGUCAGGUGACUGGUGGCAGCCCCUACUUUAACCCAGCCCAACAAGGUCAUGCUACAGAGCUGCUCAUGGCAUUUUCCUGGACUCUCCUCCCUUGGUCCUGGCUGGAUUCUUCUACCCUGAUCCAAUUAGUAAGUCCAGGCUCCAUCUCCUACUUAUACAACACCCCUUCUCUUGCUCUUUUGCUCACGGUGUUUACACUGGCUUUCUCCAUUCUCUGGUUCUCAGUCCCCUUACAAAAGAUCCUGGAUUAGAUUUGCCUGCCUACCUCUGCCUGAUUGGGAUUACUUUGUGUAGUGCCAACAUCACACGUUCGGCAUCUACCGUGUGUGCAUGACACUGCACUAAGGGUUUUACACCCAUUCUCCGUUUAAUCCUUUCAACAGCCCC
This 2027-nucleotide long non-coding RNA is filed under the name Macaca fascicularis (crab-eating macaque). Its description in RNAcentral is "lncRNA (ENSMFAG00000059003.1)". The record is from RNAcentral. Lineage: Eukaryota; Metazoa; Chordata; Mammalia; Primates; Cercopithecidae.